UAGUCCACGCCGUAAACGAUGUCAACUAGCCGUUAGAUUUAUCUAGUGGCGCAGCUAACGCGAUAAGUUGACCGCCUGGGGAGUACGCGCGCAAGCGUAAAACUCAAAGGAAUUGACGGGGCCCGCACAAGCGGUGGAGCAUGUGGUUUAAUUCGAUGCAACGCGAAGAACCUUACCAGGCCUUGACAUCCUGAGAACUUUCUAGAGAUAGAUUGGUGCCUUCGGGAAUUCAGUGACAGGUGCUGCAUGGCUGUCGUCAGCUCGUGUCGUGAGAUGUUGGGUUAAGUCCCGCAACGAGCGUAACCCUUGUCCUUAGUUGCCAGCACGUUAUGGUGGGAACUCUAAGGAGACUGCCGGUGACAAACCGGGAGGAAGGGUGGGGAUGACGUCAAGUCAGCAUGCCCCUUACGUUCUGGGGCUACACACGUACUACAAUGGGUUGGGGAC
Molecule: ribosomal RNA, 447 nt
Filed under: uncultured bacterium
Lineage: Bacteria
Description: bacterial SSU rRNA
Rfam family: Bacterial small subunit ribosomal RNA
Source: RNAcentral